GAUGAAGAACGUAGUGAAAUGCGAUAAGUAAUGUGAAUUGCAGAAUUCAGUGAAUCAUCGAAUCUUUGAACGCACAUUGCGCCCAUUAGUAUUCUAGUGGGCAUGCCUGUUCUAGCGUCAUUAAGUCCACUUAAGCCCUGCUUAGUGUUGGGAGACUGCUCCAGCGGUGCUACCCUGUAGCUACCCUGCAGCUCCUCAAAGACAGCGGCGGAGUUGUGGUAUCCUCUGAGCUUAGUAACUUGUUCUAGCUUUCGAGUACACCACUUCCCCUGCCGUAAAACCCUUAAUUUUUAAUGGUUGACCUCGGAUCAGGUAGGAAUACCCGCUGAACUUAAGCAUAUCAAUAAGCGGAGGA
Molecule: unclassified non-coding RNA, 355 nt
Filed under: soil metagenome
Description: partial contains 5.8S ribosomal RNA, internal transcribed spacer 2, and large subunit ribosomal RNA
Rfam family: 5.8S ribosomal RNA (bases 1-120)
Source: RNAcentral